This 452-nucleotide ribosomal RNA is filed under the name uncultured bacterium. RNAcentral describes it as "bacterial SSU rRNA". It matches the Rfam family "Bacterial small subunit ribosomal RNA", at positions 96 to 562 of the family's 1533-position model. The record is from RNAcentral.
CGGCGGACGGGUGAGUAACGCGUGAGCAACCUACCUUGCACAGGGGGAUAACACCCGGAAACGGGUGCUAAUACCGCAUAAGACCCCACUAUCGCAUGAUAGAGAGGUCAAAGGGCAUAACCGGUGCAAGAUGGGCUCGCGUCCCAUUAGCUAGUUGGUGAGGUAACGGCUCACCAAGGCGACGAUGGGUAGCCGACCUGAGAGGGUGAUCGGCCACACUGGGACUGAGACACGGCCCAGACUCCUACGGGAGGCAGCAGUGGGGAAUAUUGCGCAAUGGGGGGAACCCUGACGCAGCGACGCCGCGUGAGUGAAGAAGGUCUUCGGAUCGUAAAGCUCUGUCAUCGGGGACGAAGGUAUGACGGUACCCGAAGAGGAAGCCCCGGCUAACUACGUGCCAGCAGCCGCGGUAAUACGUAGGGGGCGAGCGUUGUCCGGAAUUACUGGGCGUA